RNAcentral lists this ribosomal RNA (451 nucleotides) under Streptococcus mitis. Its description in RNAcentral is "bacterial SSU rRNA". It matches the Rfam family "Bacterial small subunit ribosomal RNA", at positions 28 to 471 of the family's 1533-position model. Lineage: Bacteria; Bacillati; Bacillota; Bacilli; Lactobacillales; Streptococcaceae. The record is from RNAcentral.
GACGUACGCUGGCGGCGUGCCUAAUACAUGCAAGUAGAACGCUGAAGAGAGGAGCUUGCUCUUCUUGGAUGAGUUGCGAACGGGUGAGUAACGCGUAGGUAACCUGCCAGGUAGCGGGGGAUAACUAUUGGAAACGAUAGCUAAUACCGCAUAAUAGCAGUUAUUGCAUGAUAACUGUUUGAAAGGUGCAAAUGCAUCACUACCAGAUGGACCUGCGUUGUAUUAGCUAGUUGGUGGGGUAACGGCUCACCAAGGCGACGAUGCAUAGCCGACCUGAGAGGGUGAUCGGCCACACUGGGACUGAGACACGGCCCAGACUCCUACGGGAGGCAGCAGUAGGGAAUCUUCGGCAAUGGACGGAAGUCUGACCGAGCAACGCCGCGUGAGUGAAGAAGGUUUUCGGAUCGUAAAGCUCUGUUGUAAGAGAAGAAACGAGUGUGAGAAUGGAAAG